RNAcentral lists this ribosomal RNA (776 nucleotides) under uncultured Neocallimastigales. Its description in RNAcentral is "partial large subunit ribosomal RNA". It matches the Rfam family "Eukaryotic large subunit ribosomal RNA", at positions 24 to 627 of the family's 3401-position model. The record is from RNAcentral. Lineage: Eukaryota; Fungi; Neocallimastigomycota; Neocallimastigomycetes; Neocallimastigales.
UAUCUCUGUAGAGUCUGCAUAUCAAUAAGCGGAGGAAAAGAAACUAACAAGGAUUCCCCUAGUAACGGCGAGUGAAGCGGGAAGAGCUCAAAUUUGAAAUCUUCAAGGUUUUACCUUGACGAAUUGUAGUUUAAAGAAGUGUUUUCGGUUAGAGGAGUAGUAAAAGUUCUUUGGAAUAGGACAUCAUAGAGGGUGAGAAUCCCGUAUUUGACUAUUCUUUCUAGCUUUGUGAUACACUUUCAAAGAGUCGGAUUGUUUGGGAAUGCAGUCCAAAAUGGGUGGUAAAUUUCAUCUAAAGCUAAAUACUGGCGAGAGACCGAUAGCGAACAAGUACCGUGAGGGAAAGAUGAAAAGAACUUUGAAAAGAGAGUUAAACAGUACGUGAAAUUGUCAAAAGGGAAGCGUUUGACACCAGUGUUGUUUUCUCGAAAAUCAAUUAAAAAUGGUGGGAUUUUGUGUUGUAUUGACUUUAUCAGCUUUCUGCACUUUUUUCCUAUCUUUUUUAAUGCACUUUUCGUUUAACAAGUCAACAUCAAUUUUUCUUUUGUUGUAAAAGGGUCAUUGGAAGGUGGCUUUCUUUUCGGAGAAAGUGUUUAUAGCCUUUGGCCUCUGCAAUCGGAGAGAUUGAGGUCUGCAGCGUAGAUCCUUCGGGGUUAGAUACAUUUGUGCUAAGUUAUAGCCUUUCAUAGACAACUUGUUGACUAUGAUCAGUCAUGUAGCUUACUCGCUUAUGCUAUUUUACCUACGCUUAGGAUGUUGAUGUGAUACUGCGAGCA